RNAcentral lists this ribosomal RNA (468 nucleotides) under uncultured bacterium. Its description in RNAcentral is "partial 16S ribosomal RNA". It matches the Rfam family "Bacterial small subunit ribosomal RNA", at positions 28 to 507 of the family's 1533-position model. The record is from RNAcentral.
GACGAACGCUGGCGGCGUGCUUAACACAUGCAAGUCGAACGGACAGGCCCUGCUUUUGUUGGGUGCUCGAGUGGCGAACGGGUGAGUAACACGUGAGUAACCUACCCUUGACUUUGUGAUAACUUCAGGAAACUGGGGCUCAUACCGGAUAGGAGCUCCUGCUGCAUGGUGUGGGUUGGAAAGUUUCGGCUGUUGGGGAUGGACUCGCGGCUUAUCAGCUUGUUGGUGGGGUAGUGGCUUACCAAGGCUUUGACGGGUAGCCGGCCUGAGAGGGGGACCGGCCACAUUGGGACUGAGAUACGGACCAGACUCCUACGGGAGGCAGCAGUGGGGAAUAUUGCACAAUGGGCGGAAGCCUGAUGCAGCAACGCCGCGUGCGGGAUGACGGCCUUCGGGUUGUAAACCGCUUUCGCCUGUGACGAAGCGUGAGUGACGGUAAUGGGUAAAGAAGCACCGGCUAACUACGUG